Molecule: ribosomal RNA, 570 nt
Filed under: Ensis minor (minor jackknife clam)
Lineage: Eukaryota; Metazoa; Mollusca; Bivalvia; Adapedonta; Pharidae
Description: partial small subunit ribosomal RNA
Source: RNAcentral
UUUUUGUCUUUAGUCAGCUAGAAUGUAUAGUUUAGCGAUAGAAAAAGUUAGGUUAAUUUUAGGUCAGCAUAAUAUCGGUAAAAUGAAGGCAGUCUAAAAAAUUUAUGUACCUAAAAACUUGAAACUAAAAAGUCUGGUUUUACUAGGACUGGGAUUAGAUACCCCACUACUAAAGAUGUCAUAACUCACUACGGGGACUACGAGCAAUAGUGCUUAAAACCCAAAAAGCUUGGCGGUAUACCAAAUCCGGUCAGGGGAACUUGGCGGUUAAUUCGAUGAUCCUCGAAAUACUUUACUUUUUCUUUUCUUUACAUACCGCCGUUGUCAAUCUAUCUUGAAGAGUAAAAAUUUAGGUGUUUGUAGUGUUUGCACUAAUGAAUUCAGGUAAACGUGUAGGUUAUAAAAAAGGCUUAGCUGAGUUACAAUUGUUUAGCAAAAUUUACGGAUAAUUUACUGAAAAAUUAUUUUGAAGGCGUACUUGACAGUAAGAUUUUUUAGAGUGAAAAUCUGAAUGGCGUAAUUGGUAUGUGUACAAAUCGCCCGGCACCCUCGUAUAUAAGAAGAUGAGGU